UAGGGAAGUCAGGGUUCAGCCCCCCCUCCCUGAACCCAGGAUAACCCUGUAAGUAGAGGGGAA
Molecule: regulatory RNA element, 63 nt
Organism: Neotoma lepida (desert woodrat)
Lineage: Eukaryota; Metazoa; Chordata; Mammalia; Rodentia; Cricetidae
Rfam family: Gag/pol translational readthrough site
Source: Rfam